RNAcentral lists this transfer RNA (71 nucleotides) under Marmota monax (woodchuck). Its description in RNAcentral is "tRNA.Ala". The record is from RNAcentral. Lineage: Eukaryota; Metazoa; Chordata; Mammalia; Rodentia; Sciuridae.
GGAUUGUAGCUCAAUGGUAGAGCACUUGCCUAGCACAUGUGAUGUGGUGCUGGGUUCAAUUCUCAGCACCA